Molecule: long non-coding RNA, 1340 nt
Organism: Ornithodoros turicata
Lineage: Eukaryota; Metazoa; Arthropoda; Arachnida; Ixodida; Argasidae
Exons: 3
Source: RefSeq, a predicted model, not a curated record
UCGAUGGAUAUGACGUGAAUGGGGUUAGUGCGAGCGUGAGAACCCUGUACUAUAAGAUGGUCAUCCCCUGUACCCCCCUUGUCCACUAUUCUCGAAUCAAGAGUCCCGAGAAAAUGCUGCAUACGUUCCAGACGAUUUUGGACCUUCUGGUCCACAUUCGUCCGCCGUUUGGUAAGUUUUUCUCUAUCUCUUCUUGUUUAGAAAUAGUUAUUUUUCUAAUACCUAACGUUCCUCUGUAGGUUUCACUGUGACACACAUUGUGCAGCUAUUUUUCCAGCUGAUCCCCGGUGCGGGGGGAGAUGUGCCCCGCUUGGAUAUGGAGACGUUUUUGCAAGCGUUCGCCAUCGUAGACGAAGAAGACAUUGAGACGGCCACCACAGAAGUGCUCAUGGCGUGCUACGGCAGGGAGUGGCGCGAAAUCGCUGUGCAGCGGGGACUAGAGGGGGAGCUCUUUUUCAGAGUGCCCCGAAGCUUAGAGGAGCAUACUUUACCGCUAGAAGGUACUGCUCCUUUAAGCUUCGGGGAAGCAGAGCACCUCCUCUACUCCCUGGUGCACCAGUGGAACAGAGCGAGUGCAGCGGGUUGGAGAGAACUCGCUGAACGCUGGAUGGCGAGUCAAAUACCAUUGGAUCCCUGGGUUCUUAUAGAAGACCAUGAAGCACCCAUGUAAACACGUCAGCCAAUAAACGCAUAUCGUCUUUCGCAUCACGCGACUCUCUCUCUCUCUCUCUCUCUCUCUGUCUGCCCCAAUACAAUAGGAGAAUAGGAAACCACAGAUCCUGCGUAUAAAAGCGAGCGUGGGAUAGACCGCAGUUAAAGAUGAUGAUGUCGACGAUGUCACCACCACCACCACCACAACGUUCGGUCUGCUUGCGCCGGAGGUACACACAGGAGAAUUAUUUCAAAUUGGGGGGAGGGACUUCAUGCCUAACAUGAGGUCCGAUUAGGCUCCGCGAAGUUCAAAAUUAGGGGGAGCAUCGCCCGCAUUAUUCAAAAUUCGGGGAGGGCGUGAAUUCAUGGCCAAUAUGAAUUCUGAUUAGGUUUAAUGGGGAAUUGUGGGGCGUCCCCCGCACCAGUCAAAAUUGGGAAUGGGUAAGGGAGUUCAUGUCAAACAUGAAUUCUGAUUAGGUGUAAUUGGGAAGAUUUGGGGGGUACAUUUUAAUCUGGCCUUAUUCAAAAUUGAACUCCUUCUUUCAUUUUUCGUUAGAUUAUUCCAAAACGGGGGGGAGAAUUCGUGCAUAACACGAAUUUCAUUAGCGACCAUGCUGAUUAUACAAAAUUAAGGAGUUCUUAAAGGGAGAAUUAUUUCAAAUUGGGGUUAAAUUAAAACCUUCUUUCAU